RNAcentral lists this ribosomal RNA (857 nucleotides) under uncultured bacterium. RNAcentral describes it as "SSU rRNA". It matches the Rfam family "Bacterial small subunit ribosomal RNA", at positions 524 to 1381 of the family's 1533-position model. The record is from RNAcentral.
UACGGGAGUGGCAAGCGUUAUCCGGAAUUAUUGGGCGUAAAGCGUCCGCAGGCGGCCUUUUAAGUCUGUUGUUAAAGCGUGGAGCUUAACUCCAUUUCAGCAAUGGAAACUGGAAGGCUUGAGUGUGGUAGGGGCAGAGGGAAUUCCCGGUGUAGCGGUGAAAUGCGUAAAUAUCGGGAAGAACACCAGUGGCGAAGGCGCUCUGCUGGGCCAUAACUGACGCUCAUGGACGAAAGCCAGGGGAGCGAAAGGGAUUAAAUACCCCUGUAGUCCUGGCCGUAAACGAUGAACACUAGGUGUCGGGGGAAUCGACCCCCUCGGUGUCGUAGCCAACGCGUUAAGUGUUCCGCCUGGGGAGUACGCACGCAAGUGUGAAACUCAAAGGAAUUGACGGGGGCCCGCACAAGCGGUGGAGUAUGUGGUUUAAUUCGAUGCAACGCGAAGAACCUUACCAGGGUUUGACAUCCUGCGAAUCCCUUGGAAACGAGGGAGUGCCUUCGGGAGCGCAGUGACAGGUGGUGCAUGGCUGUCGUCAGCUCGUGUCGUGAGAUGUUGGGUUAAGUCCCGCAACGAGCGCAACCCACGUCGUUAGUUGCCAGCAUUCAGUUGGGCACUCUAGCGAGACCGCCGGUGAUAAACCGGAGGAAGGUGUGGAUGACGUCAAGUCAUCAUGCCCCUUACAUCCUGGGCUACACACGUACUACAAUGCUACGGACAAAGGGCAGCAAACUCGCGAGAGCUAGCAAAUCCCAUAAACCGUGGCUCAGUUCAGAUCGUAGGCUGCAACUCGCCUACGUGAAGGAGGAAUCGCUAGUAAUCGCAGGUCAGCAUACUGCGGUGAAUACGUUCCCGGGCCU